This 74-nucleotide transfer RNA is filed under the name Caudoviricetes sp. RNAcentral's name for it is "tRNA-Trp". It matches the Rfam family "tRNA". From Rfam's summary of the family: Transfer RNA (tRNA) molecules are approximately 80 nucleotides in length. Their secondary structure includes four short double-helical elements and three loops (D, anti-codon, and T loops). Lineage: Duplodnaviria; Heunggongvirae; Uroviricota; Caudoviricetes. The record is from RNAcentral.
GCCUGGCUAGCACAAUGGCAGUGUGGCGGUCUCCAAAACCGCUUACCGGGGUUCGAUUCCUCGGCCAGGUGCCA